This 393-nucleotide long non-coding RNA is filed under the name Androctonus crassicauda. The record is from RNAcentral. Lineage: Eukaryota; Metazoa; Arthropoda; Arachnida; Scorpiones; Buthidae.
AAAUAAUAUAUCAAAUUAUAUAAAAAUAAGGAAAUUAUAUUUAUUCAGAAAAACUUUUAUCUAAUCACAAAUUUAAUAGUUUAUUUACACAUGCGGCGGUUAGUUACCCCUGGUGCCAGCAGAUGGCAUGACAAAAUAUACUCUCGUCGAUGUACCUCUCGAGCACGAGUGACAGAAGUACUGACAACUUUUUACGUCUGUCGAGACACUACUGACCAGACGUCUUUAUCCGUCCUCGACAAAUCUGGGUCCAACGUUAGUCCUCAACUUGUAUUAUAUAUUGUAGAUAAUAUUUUAGUGAUAAGUAAAUAAAUAAUUUGGAUGCAAGUGGAUUGUAUUUUGUCCCAAUAAAAACCGUAUGACAAUCCCACUUCACUGGUGAGCCGGACGUGA